ACGAAGGUGGCAAGCGUUACUCGGAAUUACUAGGCGUAAAGCGCAGGUAGGUGGUUGUGUAAGUCUGCUGUGAAAGCUCCCGGCUUAACUGGGAGAUGUCAGCGGAUACUGCAUAGCUAGAGUGUGGGAGAGGGUACUGGAAUUCCCGGAGUAGCGGUGAAAUGCGCAGAGAUCGGGAGGAACACCAAAGGCGAAAGCAGGUACCUGGACCAUUACUGACACUAAGCUGCGAAAGCUAGGGGAGCAAACAG
This 251-nucleotide ribosomal RNA is filed under the name uncultured prokaryote. Its description in RNAcentral is "partial 16S rRNA". It matches the Rfam family "Bacterial small subunit ribosomal RNA", at positions 525 to 775 of the family's 1533-position model. The record is from RNAcentral.